This 470-nucleotide ribosomal RNA is filed under the name Bacillus australimaris. RNAcentral describes it as "bacterial SSU rRNA". It matches the Rfam family "Bacterial small subunit ribosomal RNA", at positions 16 to 474 of the family's 1533-position model. Lineage: Bacteria; Bacillati; Bacillota; Bacilli; Caryophanales; Bacillaceae. The record is from RNAcentral.
AUCCUGGCUCAGGACGAACGCUGGCGGCGUGCCUAAUACAUGCAAGUCGAGCGGACAGAAGGGAGCUUGCUCCCGGAUGUUAGCGGCGGACGGGUGAGUAACACGUGGGUAACCUGCCUGUAAGACUGGGAUAACUCCGGGAAACCGGAGCUAAUACCGGAUAGUUCCUUGAACCGCAUGGUUCAAGGAUGAAAGACGGUUUCGGCUGUCACUUACAGAUGGACCCGCGGCGCAUUAGCUAGUUGGUGGGGUAAUGGCUCACCAAGGCAACGAUGCGUAGCCGACCUGAGAGGGUGAUCGGCCACACUGGGACUGAGACACGGCCCAGACUCCUACGGGAGGCAGCAGUAGGGAAUCUUCCGCAAUGGACGAAAGUCUGACGGAGCAACGCCGCGUGAGUGAUGAAGGUUUUCGGAUCGUAAAGCUCUGUUGUUAGGGAAGAACAAGUGCGAGAGUAACUGCUCGCAACU